RNAcentral lists this ribosomal RNA (468 nucleotides) under uncultured bacterium. RNAcentral's name for it is "partial 16S ribosomal RNA". It matches the Rfam family "Bacterial small subunit ribosomal RNA", at positions 28 to 507 of the family's 1533-position model. The record is from RNAcentral.
GACGAACGCUGGCGGCGUGCUUAACACAUGCAAGUCGAACGGAAAGGCCCUGCUUUUGUGGGGUGCUCGAGUGGCGAACGGGUGAGUAACACGUGAGUAACCUGCCCUUGACUUUGGGAUAACUUCAGGAAACUGGGGCUAAUACCGGAUAGGAGCUCCUGCUGCAUGGUGGGGGUUGGAAAGUUUCGGCGGUUGGGGAUGGACUCGCGGCUUAUCAGCUUGUUGGUGGGGUAGUGUCUUACCAAGGCUUUGACGGGUAGCCGGCCUGAGAGGGUGACCGGCCACAUUGGGACUGAGAUACGGCCCAGACUCCUACGGGAGGCAGCUGUGGGGAAUAUUGCACAAUGGGCGGAAGCCUGAUGCAGCAACGCCGCGUGCGGGAUGACGGCCUUCGGGUUGUAAACCGCUUUCGCCUGUGACGAAGCGUGAGUGACGGUAAUGGGUAAAGAAGCACCGGCUAACUACGUG